RNAcentral lists this ribosomal RNA (487 nucleotides) under Bacillus mycoides. Its description in RNAcentral is "bacterial SSU rRNA". It matches the Rfam family "Bacterial small subunit ribosomal RNA", at positions 22 to 491 of the family's 1533-position model. Lineage: Bacteria; Bacillati; Bacillota; Bacilli; Caryophanales; Bacillaceae. The record is from RNAcentral.
GCUCAGGAUGAACGCUGGCGGCGUGCCUAAUACAUGCAAGUCGAGCGAAUGGAUUAAGAGCUUGCUCUUAUGAAGUUAGCGGCGGACGGGUGAGUAACACGUGGGUAACCUACCCAUAAGACUGGGAUAACUCCGGGAAACCGGGGCUAAUACCGGAUAAUAUUUUGAACUGCAUAGUUCGAAAUUGAAAGGCGGCUUCGGCUGUCACUUAUGGAUGGACCCGCGUCGCAUUAGCUAGUUGGUGAGGUAACGGCUCACCAAGGCGACGAUGCGUAGCCGACCUGAGAGGGUGAUCGGCCACACUGGGACUGAGACACGGCCCAGACUCCUACGGGAGGCAGCAGUAGGGAAUCUUCCGCAAUGGACGAAAGUCUGACGGAGCAACGCCGCGUGAGUGAUGAAGGCUUUCGGGUCGUAAAACUCUGUUGUUAGGGAAGAACAAGUGCUAGUUGAAUAAGCUGGCACCUUGACGNACCAACCAGAAAGC